RNAcentral lists this unclassified non-coding RNA (2982 nucleotides) under Rhipicephalus sanguineus (brown dog tick). RNAcentral's name for it is "ragulator complex protein LAMTOR2". Lineage: Eukaryota; Metazoa; Arthropoda; Arachnida; Ixodida; Ixodidae. The record is from RNAcentral.
GAGCGUUUGUCUUGUUUUUGUUUUGUCACUACUUUCAUCACAUGAUCGUGUGUUGAUGCGGUUGCCGCCUUGCUCUGACGGCAUUUGACAUCGCAUUCGGGCUGGCGACUACAUCAACGAUCCUCCAACAGUCGUGAGUACAGCGCGAAGAAAAUGCUGAAGCCACGGGCGUUGACUCAAGUCCUGUCGCAGGCCAACACGAGCGGCGUGUUGUGCACUCUGCUGCUGAACCGUGAGGGCACCUUGCUUGCUUACUCGGGUUAUGCAGACAAGGAUGCCAAGAUGACUGCAGCCAUUGCCAGCAGCAUUUGGCUGGCCAACGAGAAGAAUGCGCAUGCUGCCAUCAGCGAGGGGCAACUCCGGCUUGUUAUCGUUGAGUGUGAGGAUGGCCAGGUGGCCAUCACCCAGGUUGCCAACCUGCUUCUGUGCCUGCACGCCAAAACCAGCGUGGGACAGGGUCUUCUCCGGGCCAAGGCACGUGCCCUCGUCGAGUACCUUGAGGGUCCCCUGCUCCAGGUUGCAGUGUCAUAGCCGAGAAGAGCCGUCAGUAGCCAUUGCCCAUCAGCAGCGAAAUGGGCCCCCUCGUGUAGAGAACUUUUCACGUUGUGUGACUCUUGGUUGGUUGUCAUGGUGACGAAGGGGAGUGAGUUGUUGUAUUACAGAAUGCAAAUGAAAGAUGAGAACUUUUUCUGGAGGUGAAGUGAUACCUGCGAAAAAAAAACAGGUAUAUCAAUAGCACUGGGCCAUUAGCCGAGCUGGUACAGUCGGCAUGAGGCAUUUUUGCUCAGUGAAAGAAACACACCCUGUCUGCCGUCAGUCUUUUUAAUUUCCCUAUUUGUUUUGUCUCUUUAAUUGCGCUAGAAUGCCCUGUGAUGGCAGGUGUUGUUUUCAAAGAUAUAUCGGAAUUCGUAGUUCAGCAGUGCUAAAAUUGGAUAGAGGGCAGGAAAGAAGCUUCAGAUGGAACAACUUCACGGCUCAUGUACGUUGUCUUCUGCAUCUCAUCUAUUCCGAGGGCUAUUAAAUCUUAAUUUCCACGCCUACAAGACUGUUACUUACACGACAGAUCAGAUUCUUCGAUUCAGACUACAGACAAAUGUUGCCACUAGUAACAGCUCUCAUGCAAGCUGAAUCAACAAUUCCGUUCAUCACGCGCGUCCAUGUUUACCAUCUCCUAGCCAAGCCCUUCUGUUUGAUUUCAGUGCUGAAAUGAUACUUUCCUGAUGCUUUUGCAUAACUUUUCUGUUUUGCCUAAAAUUGUUUCCUUUAUUUUGUGUGUGUGUGCUUGAGCAUGUGCAUUCCUAAAAUGAGCCACAACUAUAUUUUUAACCAUAUCUCACUGAACUUGGAAUAGCUUAUUCUCUCGAUAAUUGGAAUUAAAGUGCGUGGUUCCAAAAAUUUUGACUUGACCUUUGGUUUACCUUAGAUGAUCUGCAUGAUAUUAUGCAGGUCUAGCGACUUUUGCAACUCGCACUGUAGGCUCUAAGUGUAUUGUUGCAAGUGUGGACACAUUGGGAGAGAGAUAAGCAAGAAACGGGAUCAGUACGAAGGACAAAAAUUUGAUGGCUUGUCCCAUUUUUUGAUGUGCAAUGCCAAGAAACGAGAAUAACUUAGAGAUAAUCAAAACCGUGCAAAAUGCUUAUACUGGGAGGGGUGGCUUGCGCCUAUGAAACUUUAAAAAGUCUGAUUGCAGUGCGGCAUGCCAAACAUGACUAGUAAACGUUUGUAAAGGUUAUACAGGUUUAUAAUCACUUAUCCUACAGCAGACGUUCAAAUCACCACCCGAAAAGUCAGACUGCUCUCACUUCAGCAGUAUGCAGUACCUCAUUGUAUGGAAUUCCACGGAAUGUCACGCUUUUCAUUAUUUCUUAUUCUUUUUUUGCUGCAUUGCACAUCAAAGAACGGUGCGGGCCAUUAAAUUUUUAUCCUUCAUUAAUAUUUUGCCGCAAGCCGUAAUAAAGUCGAGUAAUUUAUAACAAAAGUACGGCCCAAUAAAAUAGGUCAGUUCUAAUUGUAGUAAAAGCAUGACCUGAAGUUUAAGCUGGACGUGACAGAAGUAUAGAAGGCGGGUGGAAACACUGGCUUUGCAAUGAUUUACCUUAUUAAGAGCCUAUCAAGGCAUUACUACAUUAGGGUGGCAGUAAAAAUGCAGUGCAUUAAUCAAUACUAUGUUUCAUUAAACAACAUUUAAAUAUAUAUAUGACAUUAGCAAAAACCAGUAUUAGCAUUUCCAAAUGUAUUAGUUAAAACAAUAAUACAGUUGGGAGAUAUUUUAAUGGUAAGAGAGCAUUGAGAUUUAACUGCAAAGUCACGUGAAUUCUGAGGCACAUCUGCAUCAAAACAUUCUAACCUGCCCGAUCACUGUGACGUGCCACUUUCAAGCAAUCUUGUUUUGACACUGCUACUCUUGCAUGGUUUGCGCUUCAUUUGCGCUCGAUAAGUUCAAUGCCGAUCAACCUCACUAACAAUCAGAACUUACGGGGAUGGGCACUUCAUUUUUAAUGGGAUGAUGUGCAGAACAGAGUACGUGUACUACACUCUAGAUUCUUUUUUUUUUUUUGCAUGUGCUGCUGUGUCCACACUUCAGGAAAGUUGUAGCUUAUAGUUUUCCUUUUUUUUCUGAAUAGAUGGGGCUUCUUUAGUGAGGUCCCUGCCUAAACCAAAGAAUCCUCCGUUAAUUUCGACGGCUGGCUCGAGUGUCUCAAUGCGAUAUUCUAGCGACACAGGAGGUUCGAAGGCCCAGUACCUGACAGAUCGAGAGUGCAUACUUGCCAGUGUUUUUGUCCGAACAUAAGACUGCUGCUGGAACGACUGACGUUCCUCGGACCUUGAUACUCAAAAAGAGCAGCCUUAGAAACUACUACUGCCACGGAGAAGCACACUUGGCAGGUUGCGUGCGGUUGCCACUGAGUUUGUACGUACAGGAGUGUUUGUUGUGGACGGCUGUUGCUUUGCACGUUGGGAAUAAAGUUUAUGUUGUCCCGA